Molecule: long non-coding RNA, 5350 nt
Filed under: Mytilus galloprovincialis (Mediterranean mussel)
Lineage: Eukaryota; Metazoa; Mollusca; Bivalvia; Mytilida; Mytilidae
Source: RNAcentral
AAAAUUUACAAACAUGAUAACACAAGACUGAAUACAAUUAAAAUUUAGUCUUUCAUUGUACCAUAAAGUCAACUAUGCUGCACAUAAGUGUAUUUGUUUAAAACUAAAUAAAAUGAUUUUCAUAAUUUAUAAACAGGCUACUGUACUCUCAAUUUUACAAAAGCAAAUUCAGAUUGGCUUAUAGUUUAUAAAUCUGCCUUAUAAAAGGUAAACUGAUUGAGUUGAAUCAGGACUGAAAAAAAAGUUUCUCUUUUGAUGCACAUGUAUAACAUGAUGAAAUACUCAUAUGUUAUUAAAAUAUUAGUAUUAUAGGAAAUUAUAUAUCAUCAUGUUGUUCUUUUGUUUUCAUGUAAAGCUGUCCCUCCAAAUUUUAAGAAAAAUUUAACACCGUUUGAAUUUUAUUUUUUUAAAUUAUGUUUGGUUUUACAAAAAAAAGAGAGAAAUCUUGAUAUUAAAUUAUGAAUUGAAUUCUUGUGAAACAUUUAUUGCAGAUUGGAAAUAACUCAGUUUAGAUAUAUUUCUUUAGUUUUUCUACCUUUGUUAGACAAUUUAGAAUGAUUCAGAAAAAGACAUAUUUCAAUGGAUGUAAAUUGACAAAAAAAUACAUAUUUGUAUUUGUCAGAUUUUAAAAGUAUGUUGUCACAUUUCCUUGGCCAAAAAACCUUUUGAAUGGGAAUAGGAACACAUAACUUUAUUUUUGUGAAUAAUUAUACAUACACACAAGUACAGGUGUGUGAUGAGUUGAUGUGGCAGACUUGAAACUAGGAGUUAUCUGGAAAGAUAACAUUUCAGCAUUAUCACCAAGGCUGGAUUACAGAUUGGAAUUUGCUCAAAACAAUUUGUUGUUAUAUAUAGUGAUUAUUAUUCUUAAAAUAUGAACAUGCAUAACAACCAUCUUGCAAGAAAUAUUGAAUUUAUGAUUUUGACAACCAUGCUGGUUUUUGAACAGGGCAUUAAAUCUGCAAAAAUUAACAUCUAAGAUGAUUAUUUAGCCUGAAUGUCAAGAAUGACUAUUAACUGUUUAUUCUGUUUGAAAUCUGAAAUAAUUCAAUAAGUGUAAAUGCAAAUAUGAUUGCUUGGAGAAUCCUGAAAGAAGGAUAUUGAUGUGCAUGAUACUGUGUAUUUGAGAUACAUUGUUUAUUGUUUGACAAACUUAUUAUAAUGAAUGCCUGAGCUUUAUAGAUGAAGUAAUGAAAGUAAAAAUAAUAUAUGAUAUUGUUUAAAAGUUCAGUUGUAAACUUUAUACCCAUCACAUCUUUGUGUUCAAAGAUUGAUAAAGAUAAUAUGUAUUAGAUUGUCUGGUGGUGAAAAGUAGUUCUUUUAUAUGAUCUCAGUCUGAUUUCUGAACAAUACAAGUUUUGUAAUUGAUGUAACAAAAAAAUGGCAACUGUGUGUUGGUUUAUGGUUCUCUGGAGUAGACAUUUGGAUUUAUGGAGGGAGUUAUCAGUUAUAUACAUUUUAUUAACUUCAUGUCAAAUGCAUUUUUUUUUUUCAUUGGAACUCUACAUCAUAUUUUAUUAACAAUAAAUAAUUUUCAUUUUAGCCGUGCAAGCUAGGAGUAAACUGCAAUAAAUAUUUUUUUUUUUUAAUAUUAUUCCUUUAGGUGCCUGCAUUUGCAAAUUAUAUACUACAACAUGUUCGAUAUAAAAAAACGAAGAAGAUAUUUAGCAUGUAGAUAUGUUUUCUUCUGUUAGUUAGGAAUUUACUAAUUACUUUCUCAAUAUAAUCACAAAUCAUCUUCUCGUUAUUAUAUCUUGUUCAUUGAUAGUUUUAAUUUGAUAUACUCUUGUAUGUCUCAAGCUAUUUUAGUGCCUAAUAACCAGUUAUACAUGUUAUAACAAAUAUUUUACCAUUAAUUAGUGACAGAUAUAUUUGAAUGAAACAGAACUAUUGGCUAUAUUCAUACCUCUAUUACUGUAUUAGCUAUCUAACUCUGUUUUAUGGAUAUACAAUUAAUGUAUUUUCCUUUUGUUGUGCUGCAUAAAAGGAGGGACCGUUUUGGCAAAGUGAUAUAAGUACAGUUUAAGUACUUCAACUUCAGUGAUCUUCAGUAGUCUUUAGCAUAUAAACACUGAGGUUGUUAGAUGAAACCUUGCUCAGGGCAAGGUGCUUUAGACUCUUUAUUCACUAUGAUUGCCAAUUCCCUUCCCAAACUUGAAAAUAAAACUAUAUUUUAAGGUUUUUAAAGUAAAUAAUGUUGCUGGUGGAAGUUUAUCCCAUCUAGGACAUCACCAGCCAAAAAAAGUACCUAUUACUUUUCUUAAUAAUUUUUUGAUAGUAAAAAAAACAUUAUAGUUUGACAAAAAAACUUGUUAAUAUACAUUUACAAAUUCUGCAGAGAAGCAAGUCAAAUUUAUACAUAAUUGCAAAUAAAAUUCAUCAAAUAACAAGAAAUAAAUGGAAAUAAACUGCUCAGGACAGUAACUGGUUUAUAUGACUGGUUCCAUUAUAUAAUAACACAUGCUCAGUAAUUCUGCAUGUUUUAAUAAGAUUUUUUGUAAAUAUUGCAAAUAACAUCUCUAGCAUAUUAAAUCAUUAGUAUUUAUCUUGUAUUUCAAUUUCAUCAGAGUCAAGAUUCAUUACGCUUUAGAAAAAGGCAUUAACCAAAUCAAAUUGGAUAGGAGUGAUACAGCUGAUUGCAUAGAGUGUGAAUACAAAGGUAAUUAUUUGGUUAGCUUGGUUGCUAGCUGAGCCUUGAAGUCAGAAUUAGGUUGGGUAAACUAGUACCCUCAUUUAAGAGUAGACUAAAGUCCUACAGAUAACCUAUCUAUCUGUCUGUAUGAAAAGACUUCUUUGAAAGGAGGGUUGUAUACCUUACCUAAUAAUGAUUCCACGAUUCAACUAGCAAGUAAGCUAACCUAAGAUAUUACCAUUCGCUACACACUCAAUGCAAUCUGGCUGUAAGACUGUUGUUUUCAUUUAUCAUAUAAACAAUAGAUAAAAGCCAGCUCAAGAUUUUGUUCAUAUAUCUUUCAUAUUUUCACAUUAGAUCACAUAAAUCUCUUUUUAUUGGGAGACUAGGUAGUUUUCCAUUCUAUUAUUACGUUCAUGAUUUUGAGAUUUGUUUUAGAUCUAAAUGAGUCAGAGAAAAAUAGGGUUCAAUUUUGGGAAUUUGGGUUAUUUCCAUAAAAUUGUAUGCCAAUAUUCAUAUUUAAAAAUUGUAUGUCAAAAUAAGACCUUUAUUGAAUAUUUAUGUAAGGUAUUGUCAUCUAUUUAUAGGUAUUGGCUUUCAUUGUAUAUUUUGAGAUAAAAAUGCAAAAUGUACCAUGCUCAUGUAGAAAAAUCUCUUAAAAGUGGUCCUGACAAAAUGUGUUUUUUAAAUCACCAAUUAUCAACCCAAUAUGUGGUAAAAUAACUUUUUAUGGGAAAGAAAAGUGCCACAACAUUGCUGUCUAAAAAAUACAUACGGUAAUAAUAUUUAUUUAUCUGUUUGUGAAUUACUUUAUUUCACCAUUUGAUAUGAAUAGAAUUUUUUCGUUAUACUUUUCCAUCCCAGAUUUUCUUUUUACAUAUAUUUGAAAAAAAGAUAGAUGUACUUUCAGAAUUUUAUGGAGUUUUUUAAAUUAAAAAAUGUACCUGGAUUAAUAAUGCAACACUUAAAUGUAGCAAACAACUUGCAGAGAUCACUUUUGCUUAUUUUUGAUCAUGUUAAAUUUGUGAAAAAUAUACUUCAAAAGUUUGUACAAAUUACCAAUUUUGAUGUGAAAGGCACACUUAUGUUUAUUGUUCAAUGCACAUACAAAACACUCACACAAGAUUUAAAAAAAAAAUCAUUAUAAAUGAAAAACACAAAAUAUCCACAUUUACUUGUACAAUAAUAGGGAAAAGGGCAAUACACGAAGGUAUGUGUAAUACCAUCCAAUUUUGAAUUAACAGUAGGUAGACGUAACAGUAGGUAGAGGUAACAGUAGGUAGAGAUAACUGUAGGUAUUUGCACCUACUUAAGUAAUUUCCCUGAACUAUUUAUACAAUAAUUCAAUAAUUAAUUUUUAACUAUAAAUAUUGAACAAUAAACAAACCUAAUUUAUGAUAUUAUAUAAUUGUCAUGUGCACAAAAGUAAUACUUGAUUAUAUAAAAUGAAAAUUAUAUUUUUUUUAUUAUUAACCUUUUUCAAUGUAAAUAAUUUUUUUUAAUUUUAAAGUCAUAAGGUUUUGUAAGACUUAACACUUAAUAUUUGCAAGAAAAGUUUAUAGUUAAAAAUACAAUAAAUAUGCACCAAAGUAAAGGUAGCAAAAAGCUGUAACCAGAUGGUUACAGAAAAAAAAGUCAAUGAAAAAAAAGCAUCAAACACAUUUGUAUGGCAAGCCGUUUUACUAUUUAUUCGAAUUUCAAGAUAUCUCCUAUAAUAUAUAAGAUAUCUUAUAUAAUAUAUAAGAUAUCUCCUUUAAUAUAUAAGAUAUCUUAUAUAAUUUCAUUUUUAUAAGAUAUCUCAUAAAGUUUAGAAGAUAUCUCAUAAAGUUUAGAAGAUAUACUCAUAAAGUUUAUAAGAUAUCUCCUAAAGUUUAUAAGAUAUCUUAUAUAGUUUAUAAGAUAUCACAUAUAGUUUAUAAGAUAUCUUAUAAAGUAUACGAGAUAUCUUAUAAAUAAUUUUAUAUAAGUUAUUUUAUAUAGUUUAUAAGUAUCUCAUAUAGUUUAUAAGAUAUCUUAUAUAGUUUAUGAGAUAUCUUAUAAAGACAAUUAUAUUAGAUACCUGAUAAACUAUAUAAGAUAUCUUAUAAACUAUACAAGAUAUCUUAUAAACUAUAUAAGAUAUCUUAUAAACAAUAUAAGAUAUCUUAUAAAGUUUAUGAGAUAUCUUGCAGUAAGAAUAAAUAGCAAAACGGCUUGCCAUACAUUUGAAAUAAAAAAUCUGUGAUAUUCACUGUGAUUUUUUCCUUACUUUUCAUUUGGACUUUGUUGAGGUUUGUGUCUGAUUGUAAACUAUUUAGAAAUAAUCAUAUUGGAAUGCUGAGGAAUUUUUUUUGAUAAAAAGCUUGAGCUCGUUCCUAUCAUUUUGUAUUGAUGUUUAUUAUAAGCAUUAUUAUUGCAGUGUAUUGUACAGUUAUAUAAAUAAUUAUUGUUAGAAUAAGUAUUGUUUUCUUUUGUAUCAGUAUUUUAGAAAGCAAACAUAACUUUGAACAGGGUGUUUGUGUAAAGGAGACAAAAAAGUAUAUCAAUAAUUGAAAUAAAAAAAGAAAGACCAUUUAGAAGAAUACUCAUAUCUUAGACAUUUCUAUAAUAUCCUGAAUUAUGAAAUACACAUACUCAUUCUCAAAGAUUCUAAUGGCUUUUUACUUCUACCAAACUUUUUGGUAAUAGUUGUAAUUCAAAGUGCCUAGAUGAAUAAUCGAUUAUAUAGCAACAUCGUGG